This 720-nucleotide ribosomal RNA is filed under the name uncultured Tomentella. RNAcentral describes it as "eukaryotic LSU rRNA". The stretch from base 229 to 383 matches the Rfam family "5.8S ribosomal RNA". The record is from RNAcentral. Lineage: Eukaryota; Fungi; Basidiomycota; Agaricomycetes; Thelephorales; Thelephoraceae.
GUAGGUGAACCUGCGGAAGGAUCAUUACCGAAUUGUCAACAAGAGUUGUUGCUGGUCCCCGUACGGGGGCAUGUGCACACUUUGUUUACACAUCCACUCACACCUGUGCACCCUCCGUAGUUCUAUGGCCUGGGUGGGCUCUGUCCUCCCGGCGUGGUUCUACGUCUUUACACACACACUACAACAAAGUCUUAUGGAAUGUAUGUCGCGUUUAACGCAAUGAAAUACAACUUUCAGCAACGGAUCUCUUGGCUCUCGCAUCGAUGAAGAACGCAGCGAAAUGCGAUAAGUAAUGUGAAUUGCAGAAUUCAGUGAAUCAUCGAAUCUUUGAACGCACCUUGCGCCCUUUGGCUAUUCCGAAGGGCAUGCCUGUUUGAGUAUCAUGAACACCUCAACUCUCAUGGCUUGCCAUGAUGAGCUUGGACUUUGGGGGUCUUGUUGGCCUGUGAGCCAGCUCCUCUUAAAUGAAUUAGCUUGCCGGUGUUUGGUGGCGUCACGGGUGUGAUAACUAUCUACGCUUGUGGUUUCCCACCAGGUAACCUUCAGCAAUGGAGGUUCGCCGGAGCUUAUAAAUGUCUCUCCUCGGCGAGGACACAUUUUGACCAUUUGAUCUCAAAUCAGGUAGGACUACCCGCUGAACUUAAGCAUAUCAAUAAGCGGAGGAAAAGAAACUAACAAGGAUUCCCCUAGUAACUGCGAGUGAAGCGGGAAGAGCUCAAA